RNAcentral lists this ribosomal RNA (429 nucleotides) under Fusobacteriota bacterium. RNAcentral describes it as "Fusobacteria bacterium partial 16S ribosomal RNA". It matches the Rfam family "Bacterial small subunit ribosomal RNA", at positions 355 to 776 of the family's 1533-position model. Lineage: Bacteria; Fusobacteriati; Fusobacteriota. The record is from RNAcentral.
UGGGGAAUAUUGCGCAAUGGGCGAAAGCCUGACGCAGCGACGCCGCGUGAGGGAUGAAGGUUUUCGGAUCGUAAACCUCUGUCAGAAGGGAAGAAACCGCACUGUGCUAAUCAGCAGUGCCUUGACGGUACCUUCAAAGGAAGCACCGGCUAACCCCGUGCCAGCAGCCGCGGUAAUACGGAGGGUGCAAGCGUUAAUCGGAAUUAUUGGGCGUAAAGCGCACGUAGGCUGCUUUGUAAGGCAGGGGUGAAAUCCCACGGGUCAACCGUGGGACUGCCGUUGAUACUGCUUAGCUUGAAUCCGGGAGGAGGUGGCGGGAAUCCAGGGGUAGGAGUGAAAUCCGUAGAUAUCUGGAGGAACAUCAGUGGCGAAGGCGGCCACCUGGACCGGUAUUGACGCUGAGGUGCGAAAGCGUGGGGGGCAAACAGG